RNAcentral lists this ribosomal RNA (3508 nucleotides) under Triticum aestivum (bread wheat). RNAcentral's name for it is "partial small subunit ribosomal RNA". The record is from RNAcentral. Lineage: Eukaryota; Viridiplantae; Streptophyta; Magnoliopsida; Poales; Poaceae.
GUUCUGCAGUGGUAGCGGAGGCAAGCAGAAGAGGGCGCGGCCGCGGCAGCUCCGGCUCAGCAAGGUGAAGGGCGAGACCGUCCAGACGCGCCGGCGCACGCCCCGCAAGCAGAAGAGGGCGCGGCUACAGCAGCUCCGGCUCCGCAAGCUGAAGGGCCGGACGAUACCGACCCAUUAAGAACAGAACGAUAUUGAGAAGUGCACGUCUCUUCCCUUCUUCUUCCCCUUUCCCCUAUCGGCGGCUGUGGCGGAUUCGCUUCGCCCACGACGAGCGGACGUUGCCGCCGCCGCUGCGGCAGAGCGCCCCCCCAGCGGCAACCGAAGCGGUCCGUGCCGACGUCCGACCAGGACCACCCGCUGCUCCCGCGGGACCGGCGCUGCCGCCUCCUCCGCGCCGGGUUCCCCGCCGCCGGUAGCACCACGAACCCGACCUGAACCGCCGGACGCUGCUCCGUCGGCAGCCGCGGCGCCACCUGCGCCGCACCGCGACGAAGCCCCUGCCGCCCGAGGUACGGGAACAGUUGACGACGAGGAAGCUCCCCCUUCACGUUCUAACGGAGUCGCACUGACUUCUACUCAUGUUGUUCUGGUACUUUCAGUUACAUUAGUGUGGAACCGAGGACUAUUUCCGCUAUCGCUUCGCCAAGGCCCUACGCGUCAGCCCGCCGAGGCACCAAACGAACUGGGUCUAGUAGUCGCGACUCUCUCCUAACAUAGGCCCCCGACGCCGUAUGCCGUGUUCAAAUCCACGGCAAGUGGUCGAGCAGUCUGACAGCCGCUACCUCGAGCCGUUCGUGUUCUAGUCCCACUUGCGGCAGACGGCGCCGGAGGUGGACCCCCUGUUCAAGGGAGAGAGACAACCCCUCCUCUUCCGGCUCUUCCGCUGGCCCCUCCACUACGGCGACGCCGCCACCGACCUGGGCCUGUUCCUGGAGCGAAGGUGCCACGACAUGGACCAGCCGCUGCUGAGGGCGAAGUACUGUCCGUGGUGGUAGAUACAGCUGCCGCGUGUCAGGUAACACGCGGGAGCGUACGCAAGGAAGGACAUCCACCUGGUUCGGCAUAGUUACCGCAAGCCUCUCUUGCCUCGUUGGUUGAUGUAGGCGUAGGUCCCAUUGCCGUAAUGGCGGCCUCGCUGCUGCCUCCGCCGGUACCGCCUCGCCCCCCACCUCAGCCAGGACAAGGCCCCCUUCUUCGACUACGGCGUCUGGUUGCUGCUCGCCGACCUGCCGCACCACCUCGUCGACCACGCCCUAGGAGGCACUAAGCCGGUAACGGUAAGAGGUGCCUAGACCGGCACCGGUGUUGGCUGCGACGGCCAAGGUACCUCCUCGAGUGGGGCCGGAAGAGGAGCAAAAGGAGGUACCAGCCCAGAGGAUCACCUCCACGGCUACGACGGCCAAGGUGUUGCGUUCUCGGGCACCGUUGCGCCGUUUGACUUCAACAAGCGGCCGCAGCGUGUCCCGCAAAAACCGCAGCGUCCUUUGGGAUGGAGCCCCAACCGUAUCCCGUAGAGACCGCAGCAUACUUUGGGGUGGCGCCCCGACCACGUCCCUCACCGGCUGGUAGGGUGGGACGACUUCGGCGUCCCGCAGAGACGGUUCAGGUACCAACCGCUCAGGUUCCGGCAGAGAUAGGUCCGGAGGCACCAGCUCCGCUUGACGUGAUUGUAGCUACAGACGGGACUUGACAAACGUAGAUUUUCGAGAACACUGCUACCUUUCAGAUGGAGGUUCCCUGGUUUUUUCUUUUAGCCAGGAUUUUCUAGAAGCGGACUGUGUAGAUGAGUGCUACUGUCACUUCAUAUAGUUCGACCACGAUUUUCUUCCUGAGAAUUGGGGAGAUAAGGAGUAUUCCUCUCGAACCUCAGACUUCUAAAAAGACGUUUCAUCCAAAGGGAAACCGAGAUUAAGUACUAUAAACCAUUGAACAACAACAACAUCAAUAUAACUAUUGGACCACUAAAGUCUAUGGUUGUUUUUAAAUAAACGGAUAUAAUGCCAACGUCUUCAGGAACACCUAUAGGAUAUGUCAUAUUUAUACUUGGUGGUGAACCACCUAGCGACGACAAAUCUCGAGACGAGACAAUUACGAUGAAACUCAGAUCUACCGUAAUUGAUGUCUCUUCCCUAGAUCGAUCCAAACGUUACCGUACACAUGAUUGCUUAGUAAAAUCAGAGUCCAAAAGGGACGUUUUGACUUCAAGUACAGAGUACAAACCUAAUUAGUGCCACAUCAGACUACCAUUAAACAGAUGAAUCACGUCAAAUACAUAAGAAGGUGUUGAAGUAAAUUACGAAAGUCUCAAUUUCAAAACCCCUAUCAAACCUACAAUAUGGGUUCCGUAAUAUUAACGAGAUAUAAUAAGAAUUAAAGUAUAUAGUAGUGGAAUCUGAUGAGCUUGACAGCCGGUACGAAACACUAGUACACGCUGCUCGUAUAACAAGCCACGACGAUAAAAGGUAAGCGACGACCCAACGAAGAUGAGAGGUGGUUAGACAGUUCAUCGUUUCUCAUCCAAACUGGAGUUAAAGCUACGUCUGUACCUAACCCUACACUACGUACAUGAACGAUUAAUUCCCUAAACCUAGAACGGGAGUUAAUCUCAAGGGUUAGAGUUGCUUCACCCCAAAUGCUUAAAAUAAUAAAAAAUCGAACUUACCUGACAUCGAAGCGAAUUAACUGACUGUCAACAUAAACUGACGUAUUGACCUAAUUAACUAAAGUACCGUCUACGGCCAAAACUGGAACCAACUAGUACGAAACAAGGAACAAACCGGACGUUGUAUAAAAGAUACGUAAGCGUCUUUACCAUUGACUUAUUAAUGAAGUAUGACGUCUUGUAGAACGAAUUAUGGACUCAGGGGCCGGGAACAACGAUGUCCAAAUAGAACCUGUACUAAGAGUUUCUUCUAUGUCUACACGUACGAAGUAUAGAAGAUGUGCGAAUACGUUUCGUCCUAAAAUAAGUAUAAAACUACUCGAAUUAAAGAAUACGAUUACAAACGAAGGCGGACUUCCUAUGUAUACCAUACAAAACACUCGCCACCCAUACCUACUCAUUACGGGACGAUGAGGAACCCCCCGCACUCACUUCUAAAUACGGAAUUCGUAUCCUUACUCCCUCAUCCAUAGGUUGUCUUAUCCGCUACUACGAUCCUCUUUUUCUUCUGAAACUAGACCAAGAAGUUUCUCCAUGUAGUUCCUUGUUCAUGUACCACGAUGAGCUACCAGUCGGUCUAAGACUGAUAAUAAAACCCUACGGUUUCUCUAUCGUGUACUACAAGCUGGCGACCCCUUAACUUCAUAUCACGAAUGGUUAUAUGACCGUACAUAAAAAAAGAUUUCCUAUAUCACCAAAGGAAAUCAACUUUAUGUAUUUUAAAAGUGGGGGUUACUAAGUUGUUCUCAACAAGUAAUUUUCACACACCAGAGAAAGAAGUAGUUCUUAACUUUAUAGACACGAUAAUAUUGAGGUACCUCUCGUUAUUAUAUUAAAAGUGUUCCC